UUUAGGAUGACUACGGUAGGUCCUGCCAGUCGUCCUCAUCCGAAAGUGAGGAAUCUUCGCGCCACUCAUCCACAACGUUAAGAUCACCUUGUGGGUCAUAGUCCUCCUCAUCUGAGGAAAGGAAGGUGGUAGAGGGUAGCAAGAUCCCGGUGUUCCACAUGUUUGGGCCGUUUAACCGGUGCCUUGCCUUUUGGUUCUAGAGGCUGGGGGCUUGUACACUUUCAGUGUUGUUUGGACUUCGACAGUUCUGAGCCCGAGGCCUCCGUCAUAUCCGGUGGGCCUGGGUCUCCCUCCA
Molecule: non-coding RNA, 295 nt
Organism: Pelobates cultripes (western spadefoot toad)
Lineage: Eukaryota; Metazoa; Chordata; Amphibia; Anura; Pelobatidae
Source: the annotation of a GenBank genome assembly